This 1068-nucleotide long non-coding RNA is filed under the name Cricetulus griseus (Chinese hamster). RNAcentral describes it as "lncRNA (ENSCGRG00015034950.1)". Lineage: Eukaryota; Metazoa; Chordata; Mammalia; Rodentia; Cricetidae. The record is from RNAcentral.
CUGGCCUGACAGACAAUGCAAGACUUAAUGCUGGGCAGGACAUGAAGUUGAUCUAAGAGCAAAGGUAAUAGCUAAAUAACCCAAAUCCCUGCAUGCUUUGAAGGGUUUUUUCCAGUGUUGGAAGCUCUCAGUCACAAGGUUUGGUGUACACGAGAUCCCCUGUUCAGAAACCAGGUAAAAUAAAAUCACUGCUCCCACUGCUGAAAGGCUGCAUUUCCGCCAUUCUCUGCCAGCAGUUAGGGGAAGAACGCUGUGCUGACUCACUAAUCGCCAGGUACUCAGGUAUUUCCUCCUGAUCCAAAUUAUGAAACCAUGCCUGGUGAUGAAUAAGGAUGUGGAAUUCAUGAGCUCAGAAGAGAAGCAGUAGUGUGUAGUGCCUCCCACCUCCUCCCACCAUGAGACCCAUGGCUUUGAUCUCAGUCUUAUGUGGCUUUUUUUAGGGGAGAUGUAAACAAAUGCUCAUUCAUUUCAGAAAGGCACCAAUGACAGUCCAGAAACAACAACAAAAAUCAAACAAACAAACAACAAAACCCACUCUAAUCUACCAGGUAAACCAAUAUCCUUAUUGAGGUUGCUUAGGGAUGCAUUGGUGACUCAAAUGUACUAUGUUGCUGAAAAGUCUGCCCAAACAUGGGACUUAGCUCACUAUAGCUCACACCUCUCCCUCGAGCUCUCUGCCCUACUUGUGGGCAGCUCCACCAAAGACAAGCUCCUGUUUCCCAGUAUUGCUCAAUGCUUUUGUAACCUUGGGUAUCAUGAGUCUUGGAACUGUCUGAGAUUCCUGAGACUUACAAGCCUCCCAUUCCAUUAAGACGUGAUUCAGGCUUUAAUUCAGAGGUAAUAACUACACGAAUGAUUUUGUGUCAGCUUUUCUGCUGCUGCAAUAAAUACCUGAGAUAAUCAAUGAGAGAGAUACUAUCGAGGGUCUAUUCCAUGAUAUUGUCCAUUGCUUUUGGGUCUGUGGUGAGGAAGCACAUGAUGGCAUGAAUGCAUGGUAGAGCAAGAUCAAUUCACUACAGGCCCAGGAUAUAGCCUACAGGAAGUGGAAAGAGCUGGGUUCUACUAAGG